RNAcentral lists this ribosomal RNA (632 nucleotides) under Photobacterium leiognathi. RNAcentral's name for it is "bacterial SSU rRNA". It matches the Rfam family "Bacterial small subunit ribosomal RNA", at positions 434 to 1061 of the family's 1533-position model. Lineage: Bacteria; Pseudomonadati; Pseudomonadota; Gammaproteobacteria; Vibrionales; Vibrionaceae. The record is from RNAcentral.
CAGUAGGGAGGAAGGCAGUGUCGUUAAUAGCGGCAUUGUUUGACGUUACCUACAGAAGAAGCACCGGCUAACUCCGUGCCAGCAGCCGCGGUAAUACGGAGGGUGCGAGCGUUAAUCGGAAUUACUGGGCGUAAAGCGCAUGCAGGCGGUCUGUUAAGCAAGAUGUGAAAGCCCGGGGCUCAACCUUGGAACAGCAUUUUGAACUGGCAGACUAGAGUCUUGUAGAGGGGGGUAGAAUUUCAGGUGUAGCGGUGAAAUGCGUAGAGAUCUGAAGGAAUACCGGUGGCGAAGGCGGCCCCCUGGACAAAGACUGACGCUCAGAUGCGAAAGCGUGGGGAGCAAACAGGAUUAGAUACCCUGGUAGUCCACGCCGUAAACGAUGUCUACUUGGAGGUUGUGGCCUUGAGCCGUGGCUUUCGGAGCUAACGCGUUAAGUAGACCGCCUGGGGAGUACGGUCGCAAGAUUAAAACUCAAAUGAAUUGACGGGGGCCCGCACAAGCGGUGGAGCAUGUGGUUUAAUUCGAUGCAACGCGAAGAACCUUACCUACUCUUGACAUCCAGAGAACUUACCAGAGAUGCUUUGGUGCCUUCGGGAACUCUGAGACAGGUGCUGCAUGGCUGUCCUCACCUC